UCUCUUGGGGAACCUGGGGGUUGGGGGAGGGAAGUUGGAGAAAUGAGGCCCCUCAGACUCUCUCCUUCUGACCAUGUGCUGGGGAGGAAGGGGAGUAGGGAGCAAGGGGUCCCUACUGAGGGAGGGUGACUUUUUCCAUUCCUACCUGGGAGCAUCUGGGGCUCCAGGUCUGGAAGGAUUCUCAAGAGCAUCCCAUCCAGCCUCCUUUUCCAGCCUCUUCUUGAACUCUCUGAGACAUGGGAAGCUCAGCACCUCCCUGGCCACCUGUCUCAUUGCUUCAUGCUUCCUCAUUUGGAGUCCUGAGUGGCCUUUCUUUCUUGGUACCAGGGCCCUGAGACCCCUAGGGGUACUCAGCCCACAACCAAGAAAACCUCAUAGGAUGUGGAGACAGAAGGCAGUGUCCUCCCUCCACUGGACUAACACCUACACCAGCUGGGGAAGGAGCACGCCCAAGCCAAGCCCCGACAGACCUGUCUGGUGCCCAGUGAUCCCAGCCACCAUACAAAGAAGUCCAGGCUCUCCUGCUGAAGAGGCCACAUGGAGGAGAACUGGGACACACUGGCUGAGAGCCAGCACCAACCACCAGUCCUGUGAAUGAGUCUUCUUGGAAGAGGACCCUCCAGCCCUAACGAGACUUCAGAUGAAGUAGCCCUAACCAGUGUAAUUGCAACCCACGAAAGACCCCAGGCCAGAACCACCCAGCUAAGCUGCUCCUGGAUUCCUGACUCUCAGAAACUGUGAUAUAAUCAAUGUUUGUUUCAAGCCACUUAAGUUUAGGGGUAAUUUGUUAUUCAGCAAUAGAUAACUGAUACACUUGGUCAACCUCACUGUCUGGAAUUUCACCAUUAGAGCUUCACCUAUGGGUGGGUUAAGUCACUGUCACCUCCAUGUUUCUCCCCAACCCUGAGAUAAAUAACAACUGGCUGAUGCUGAUUUGCUGACUCAGAUAACGGCUAGAGGACACCUCCAAUCUGGUUAGGGGAUGCCAUUCUGGGAAUGGUAUGUGGCCACUUAAUCAUUUUGAACCCACGCAGGACAGGGGUGGUCACCAAUGAGCCGCUUUGACAGAGUUGUAUGACUUCACAGCUUUCGUAUAUGGCAGCUUCCAGAAAAACCACCCCCUGCUUUAGCUGACAGCAAAGGGGCAGGGCUGUCAUGGGGAUGAGGGCUUGAGGAGAGCUGAGCUCUGACAGGAGUAAGGCCCAGGUUCCACAGAUCCCUGACAUUCCUGGGCUCUCUCCAUUCCUUGCCCAGUAGUGGCCAGAGCUGCAUUCAUGAGACCCCUCUUAGCAUCUUCCAACCCGUUUCAGAAUCCCCACCCUUGGCUGGCCACUGGUCAGAAGCUAGCACAGUGUGACUGUGCACAUCUUAGUGUCAUGGUAUGUAGGUGUGAGCGUGUAAGGGCACGAGGUGGGAGACAUUUGUGUGCAGAAGCAUGUGCUGGUGGGAAGCAUUCAUUUGUGCACGUGUGCAUUUGAUUUGUGGGUAUCUGGGUGGGAAGGAGUGUAUAUGCUGCUGUAUUUUUGUGUGUACCUGCGAGAGUUUUUGUAUACAUCUAUGAGAAUCAGUGUAUCUGCAUGAUGGCUUUAUUGGAGUGGGGGCCUGUGCACCUCAGUCUGUGUGCCUGUCUUUGCUGCAGUUGGGAUGCGUGUCUAUGUGU
This is a non-coding RNA of Delphinapterus leucas (beluga whale), 1660 nucleotides long. The record is from RefSeq and is a predicted model, not a curated record. NCBI's taxonomy places the organism in Eukaryota, Metazoa, Chordata, Mammalia, Artiodactyla, Monodontidae.